Molecule: unclassified non-coding RNA, 376 nt
Filed under: soil metagenome
Description: partial contains 5.8S ribosomal RNA, internal transcribed spacer 2, and large subunit ribosomal RNA
Rfam family: 5.8S ribosomal RNA (bases 1-120)
Source: RNAcentral
GAUGAAGAACGCAGCGAAAUGCGAUAAGUAAUGUGAAUUGCAGAAUUCAGUGAAUCAUCGAAUCUUUGAACGCAUCUUGCGCUCCUUGGUAUUCUGAGGAGCAUGCCUGUUUGAGUGUCAUUAAAUUCUCAACUACACUGACUUUGAAUUGGUGUGGCUUGGAUUUGGGGGGAAAAUUGUUGUGGGCUUUUUGUAUAGUCUGCUCCCCUGAAAUUGAUUAGCGGUACCUUUGUAGAACUGUCUACAGGUGUGAUAAUUAUCUACAUCUUAGACAUCUGCUGGAAUGCUGCUUUCUAAACCUUACUUGUAUUGACAAUCUUGACCUCAAAUCAGGUAGGACUACCCGCUGAACUUAAGCAUAUCAAUAAGCGGAGGA